Long non-coding RNA from Actinia tenebrosa (Australian red waratah sea anemone), 1007 nucleotides. Lineage: Eukaryota; Metazoa; Cnidaria; Anthozoa; Actiniaria; Actiniidae. The record is from RefSeq and is a predicted model, not a curated record.
GUAAUUUCCUUUCUACCUUAAGAAUACAAAUAAAAGCACUAUUACCGCUGCGGGUACUUCAACCCCAAGCGGAUUGUCCACGGGAGCGACAAUCGGUAUUGCUGUUGGAGCUACAUUUGGAGUUAUUCUGAUAGUAGUCUUGGCAGUGCUCAUGUACAAGCGUGUUGGUAAGAAAUCAAGGAAAGUAAACAUAACAGCAGAAAACCCUGGUGCUAACGAAGAGAAUGAACUAAAAAACAAAGGUGACGCGACUUAGAACGCCAACCCUAUACCUGUCAAAAACAGACGAAAACUUCGUUAGCUUCCGUGUUUGAAGCAUAGGGGAAAAACUCAAACUAGACAGUUUUAUAGUGUAGGUAGACAUAUAUAACUCAACAAUGAAAAUCGUUUUCGCAUGCGUCAGAUUGUCCAAGAAUAUACGAUCUCGUAUCCAGAGUCCUUAUUUCUUACUGCGCAUGCUCGACGAAAUGAUUUCGUCAAGUAUGCGCAGCAAAGAAUAAAGGCUCUGAUUAAAAGAUCGGGUUUUUAGGGGGAAAUAUUUUACUAAAACAUUAGAAACGUUCUACAUACAAUAAAAACAAACCAUGCAAAGGCAUUGUUCAAAAGAUUUCUAAAAAAAUCUAAUUUUAAGAAAUGAGCUUUAGAGACCUUUUUCCGCUUGUGUGUAAUUUUUUCUCAUUUCAGAAGACGAGUUUGUCUUAUGGUGCGCAACUGUUAAACAAAAAGAAUAAUGCUCUAGGGAAUGACAUUUGAUCCAAAACCAUAACUUUUUAGUUUGAAUUGGUAUGUAGCCGUCAUAUACUGUAUUUCUUAAGAGUGGAGGAAAACCUGAGGAACUGUGCUGAAAAAUCUCGAAUCAAGGGAGAAACCUAAAGAUGAUUCCAAGUCUAGGGAGAGUUUGGUUCCCAAACAGAAGCCGAAUCACUGACAUAUUACUUGUGUGCAAUAGUCUAUGCUGUAUAAAGUAAAUUGAAGUGAAUUUCAGUAAAUAUACAGUUUUUCUUAAA